GAUGAACGCUAGCGGCAGGCUUACACAUGCAAGUCGAGGGGUAACGAUGGUGCUUGCACCAUGCGACGACCGGCGGACGGGUGAGUAACGCGUAUGCAACCUACCUAUUGCAGGAAGAUAGCCCGAGGAAACUCGGAUUAAUAUUCCAUAAUAUCAUUUUUACACAUGUAUUAAUGAUUAAAGCUACGGCGGCAAUAGAUGGGCAUGCGUACCAUUAGCUAGUUGGUGAGGUAACGGCUCACCAAUGUUACGAUGGUUAGGGGGUCUUAAAGGAUGAUCCCCCACACUGGUACUGAGACACGGACCAGACUCCUACGGGAGUGCAGCAGUGAGGAAUAUUGGGCAAUGGACGCAAGUCUGACCCAGCCAUGCCGCGUGCAGGAUGACUGCUCUAGUAGUUGUAAACUGCUUUUCUAUUUCAUGAACCCCUCUGACGUGUCAGGGGCUGACAGUAGAAUAGGAAUAAGCAUCGGCUAACUCCGUGCCAGCAGCCGCGGUAAUACGGAGGAUGCAAGCGUUAUCCGGAUUUACUAGGUUUAAAGGGUGCGUAGGCGGGGUAUCAAGUCAGUGGUGAAAUCCUGCAGCUCAACUGUAGAACUGCCAUUGAAACUGAUAUUCUUGAGUAUAGUUGAGGUAGGCGGAAUGUGUUAAGUAGCGGUGAAAUGCAUAGAGAUAACACAGAACACCGAUUGCGAAGGCAGCUUACUAAACUAUUACUGACGCUGAGGUACGAAAGCGUGGGGAGCGAACAGGAUUAGAUACCCUGGUAGUCCACGCCGUAAACGUUGAUCACUAGUUGUUUGCGAUACAUUGUGAGCGACUGAACAAAAGCAUUAAGUGAUCCACCUGGGGAGUACGUUGGCAACGAUGAAACUCAAAGGAAUUGACGGGGGCCCGCACAAGCGGAGGAACAUGUGGUUUAAUUCGAUGAUACGCGAGGAACCUUACCUGGGCUUAAAUGUAAGACGACUAACAGGGAAACUUGUUAUCUUUCGAGCGUCCUACAAGGUGCUGCAUGGUUGUCGUCAGCUCGUGCCGUGAGGUGUCGGGUUAAGUCCCAUAACGAGCGCAACCCUUAUCGUUAGUUGCCAGCGGGUAAUGCCGGGGACUCUAGCGAAACUGCCAUCGUAAGAUGUGAGGAAGGUGGGGAUGACGUCAAAUCAGCACGGCCCUUAUGUCCAGGGCUACACACGUGUUACAAUGGUCGAAACAAAGGGCAGCUACUUGGUGACAAGAUGCUAAUCUCUAAAAUCGAUCUCAGUUCGGAUCGAAGUCUGCAAUUCGACUUCGUGAAGUUGGAUUCGCUAGUAAUCGCGCAUCAGCAAUGGCGCGGUGAUACGUUCCCGGGCCUUGUACACACCGCCCGUCAAGCCAUGGAAGCUGGGGGUACCUGAAGUCUGUAACCGAGAGGAGCGGCCUAAGGUAAAACUUAGUAACUGGGGCUAAGUCGUAA
RNAcentral lists this ribosomal RNA (1453 nucleotides) under uncultured organism. Its description in RNAcentral is "bacterial SSU rRNA". It matches the Rfam family "Bacterial small subunit ribosomal RNA". The record is from RNAcentral.